Molecule: ribosomal RNA, 532 nt
Filed under: Fusarium cf. solani IPBCC 08.581
Lineage: Eukaryota; Fungi; Ascomycota; Sordariomycetes; Hypocreales; Nectriaceae
Description: eukaryotic LSU rRNA
Rfam family: 5.8S ribosomal RNA (bases 154-307)
Source: RNAcentral
UUACCGAGUCUAAACAACUCAUCAACCCUGUGAACAUACCUAAAACGUUGCUUCGGCGGGAACAGACGGCCCCGUAAAACGGGCCGCCCCCGCCAGAGGACCCCUAACUCUGUUGCUAUAUGUAUCUUCUGAGUAAACAAGCAAAUAAAUUAAAACUUUCAACAACGGAUCUCUUGGCUCUGGCAUCGAUGAAGAACGCAGCGAAAUGCGAUAAGUAAUGUGAAUUGCAGAAUUCAGUGAAUCAUCGAAUCUUUGAACGCACAUUGCGCCCGCCAGUAUUCUGGCGGGCAUGCCUGUUCGAGCGUCAUUACAACCCUCAGGCCCCCGGGCCUGGCGUUGGGGAUCGGCGAGGCGCCCCCUGUGGGCACGCGCCGUCCCCCAAAUACAGUGGCGGUCCCGCCGCAGCUUCCAUUGCGUAGUAGCUAACACCUCGCAACUGGAGAGCGGCGCGGCCAUGCCGUAAAACACCCAACUUCUGAAUGUUGACCUCGAAUCAGGUAGGAAUACCCGCUGAACUUAAGCAUAUCAAUAA